UUUAUGGAGAGUUUGAUCCUGGCUCAGGACGAACGCUGGCGGCGUGCUUAACACAUGCAAGUCGAACGGAAAGGCCUAGCUUGCUAGGUACUCGAGUGGCGAACGGGUGAGUAACACGUGGGUGAUCUGCCUCGUACUUCGGGAUAAGCCUGGGAAACUGGGUCUAAUACUGGAUAGGACCAUGCUUUAGUGUGUGUGGUGGAAAGUUUUUCGGUACGAGAUGAGCCCGCGGCCUAUCAGCUUGUUGGUGGGGUAAUGGCCUACCAAGGCGUCGACGGGUAGCCGGCCUGAGAGGGUGGACGGCCACAUUGGGACUGAGAUACGGCCCAGACUCCUACGGGAGGCAGCAGUGGGGAAUAUUGCACAAUGGGCGCAAGCCUGAUGCAGCGACGCCGCGUGGGGGAUGACGGCCUUCGGGUUGUAAACCUCUUUCGCUAGGGACGAAGCUUUUGUGACGGUACCUAGAUAAGAAGCACCGGCUAACUACGUGCCAGCAGCCGCGGUAAUACGUAGGGUGCGAGCGUUGUCCGGAAUUACUGGGCGUAAAGAGCUCGUAGGUGGUUUGUCGCGUCGUCUGUGAAAUUCCGGGGCUUAACUUCGGGCGUGCAGGCGAUACGGGCAUAACUUGAGUGCUGUAGGGGAGACUGGAAUUCCUGGUGUAGCGGUGGAAUGCGCAGAUAUCAGGAGGAACACCGAUGGCGAAGGCAGGUCUCUGGGCAGUAACUGACGCUGAGGAGCGAAAGCAUGGGGAGCGAACAGGAUUAGAUACCCUGGUAGUCCAUGCCGUAAACGGUGGGCGCUAGGUGUGAGGGUCUUCCACGACUUUCGUGCCGUAGCUAACGCAUUAAGCGCCCCGCCUGGGGAGUACGGCCGCAAGGCUAAAACUCAAAGGAAUUGACGGGGGCCCGCACAAGCGGCGGAGCAUGUGGAUUAAUUCGAUGCAACGCGAAGAACCUUACCUGGGCUUGACAUAUGCAGGAUCGGCGUAGUGAUACGUUUUCCCUUGUGGUCUGUAUACAGGUGGUGCAUGGUUGUCGUCAGCUCGUGUCGUGAGAUGUUGGGUUAAGUCCCGCAACGAGCGCAACCCUUGUCUUAUGUUGCCAGCACGUGAUGGUGGGGACUCAUGAGAGACUGCCGGGGUUAACUCGGAGGAAGGUGGGGAUGACGUCAAAUCAUCAUGCCCCUUAUGUCCAGGGCUUCACACAUGCUACAAUGGUCGGUACAACGCGCUGCGAGCCUGUGAGGGUGAGCGAAUCGCUGAAAGCCGGCCUCAGUUCGGAUUGGGGUCUGCAACUCGACCCCAUGAAGUCGGAGUCGCUAGUAAUCGCAGAUCAGCAACGCUGCGGUGAAUACGUUCCCGGGCCUUGUACACACCGCCCGUCACGUCAUGAAAGUUGGUAACACCCGAAGCCAGUGGCCUAACCCUUGUGGGGGGGAGCUGUCGAAGGUGGGAUCGGCGAUUGGGACGAAGUCGUAACAAGGUAGCCGUACCGGAAGGUGCGGCUGGAUCACCUCCUUU
This 1519-nucleotide ribosomal RNA is filed under the name Corynebacterium diphtheriae. RNAcentral's name for it is "bacterial SSU rRNA". It matches the Rfam family "Bacterial small subunit ribosomal RNA". RNAcentral also lists the same sequence under 2 other names. The record is from RNAcentral. Lineage: Bacteria; Bacillati; Actinomycetota; Actinomycetes; Mycobacteriales; Corynebacteriaceae.